GUUCCUGUGGUGGAAUUGGCAGACACGUUGGAUUUAGGUUCCAAUGCCCAUCAGUGUGAGAGUUCGAGUCUCUCCAGGAACACCA
This 85-nucleotide transfer RNA is filed under the name Kiritimatiellia bacterium. Its description in RNAcentral is "Kiritimatiellae bacterium (gut metagenome) tRNA-Leu". It matches the Rfam family "tRNA". Rfam says of the family: Transfer RNA (tRNA) molecules are approximately 80 nucleotides in length. Lineage: Bacteria; Pseudomonadati; Kiritimatiellota; Kiritimatiellia. The record is from RNAcentral.